UACGUAGGGGGCUAGCGUUGUCCGGAAUCAUUGGGCGUAAAGCGCGCGUAGGCGGUGAUCUUUGUCAGAGGUGAAAUCCCGAGGCUCAACUUCGGAAUUGCCUUUGAAACGGGAUCGCUUGAGUCCGAGAGAGGAUGGCGGAAUUCCUAGUGUAGAGGUGAAAUUCGUAGAUAUUAGGAAGAACACCGGUGGCGAAGGCGGCCAUCUGGCUCGGUACUGACGCUCAGGCGCGAAAGCGUGGGGAGCAAACAGG
This 253-nucleotide ribosomal RNA is filed under the name uncultured bacterium. RNAcentral's name for it is "partial 16S ribosomal RNA". It matches the Rfam family "Bacterial small subunit ribosomal RNA", at positions 524 to 776 of the family's 1533-position model. The record is from RNAcentral.